This 72-nucleotide transfer RNA is filed under the name Kofleriaceae bacterium. Its description in RNAcentral is "tRNA-Gly". Lineage: Bacteria; Pseudomonadati; Myxococcota; Haliangiales; Kofleriaceae. The record is from RNAcentral.
GCUGGUGCGUCCAGGUGACAGGUCAGUACGCCACACUGACACAGGCCGGUUCGACUCCGGUCACCAGCUCCA